GAUGAACGCUGGCGGCGUGCCUAAUACAUGCAAGUCGAGCGAACGGACGAGAAGCUUGCUUCUCUGAUGUUAGCGGCGGACGGGUGAGUAACACGUGGAUAACCUACCUAUAAGACUGGGAUAACUUCGGGAAACCGGAGCUAAUACCGGAUAAUAUUAUGAACCGCAUGGUUCAAAAGUGAAGGACGGUCUUGCUGUCACUUAUAGAUGGAUCCGCGCUGCAUUAGCUAGUUGGUAAGGUAACGGCUUACCAAGGCAACGAUGCAUAGCCGACCUGAGAGGGUGAUCGGCCACACUGGAACUGAGACACGGUCCAGACUCCUACGGGAGGCAGCAGUAGGGAAUCUGCCGCAAUGGGCGAAAGCCUGACGGAGCAACGCCGCGUGAGUGAUGAAGGUCUUCGGAUCGUAAAACUCUGUUAUUAGGGAAGAACAUAUGUGUAAGUAACUGUGCACAUCUUGACGGUACCUAAUCAGAAAGCCACGGCUAACUACGUG
RNAcentral lists this ribosomal RNA (497 nucleotides) under uncultured bacterium. RNAcentral describes it as "partial 16S ribosomal RNA". It matches the Rfam family "Bacterial small subunit ribosomal RNA", at positions 28 to 507 of the family's 1533-position model. The record is from RNAcentral.